This is a small nuclear RNA of Urocitellus parryii (Arctic ground squirrel), 104 nucleotides long. NCBI's taxonomy places the organism in Eukaryota, Metazoa, Chordata, Mammalia, Rodentia, Sciuridae. The record is from Ensembl.
GUGCUUGCUUUGGCAGCAUAUAUACUAAAAUUGGAACAAUACAGAGAUUAGCAUGGCCUCUGUGCAAGGAUGACAUGCGAAUUCAUGAAGAAUUCCAUAUUUUU